UACGUAGGCAGCAAGCGUUGUUCGGAAUUACUGGGCGUAAAGCGUAUGCAGGCGGACUUUUAAGUCGGGGGUGAAAUCCCGAGGCUCAACCUCGGAACUGCCUUCGAUACUGGAAGUCUUGAGUCCGGGAGAGGUGAGUGGAACUCCGAGUGUAGAGGUGAAAUCGUAGAUAUUCGGAAGAACACCAGUGGCGAAGGCGGCUCACUGGCCCGGUACUGACGCUGAGAUACGAAAGCGUGGGGAGCAAACAGG
This 252-nucleotide ribosomal RNA is filed under the name uncultured bacterium. RNAcentral's name for it is "partial 16S ribosomal RNA". It matches the Rfam family "Bacterial small subunit ribosomal RNA", at positions 524 to 776 of the family's 1533-position model. The record is from RNAcentral.